GUAUAAUUUUUCAUCCUCUCCAUCGCUGGUCAAUGUCUGUUCUUCAGGUAUUCGAUUUUAAUGGUGGUUGUUCUCCUUUCCUCUCUCCUCUGCAGUCAUCAACAUUAAAACAUAGAUUCACAUAAAUAUGCUCAAAUUCACUAAAUUCCAGGUUAUUUUUCAAUCGAAUUUAGAAAAUGGUUCUUGUUUAUACCGUUCUGGUAAUCUGGCCAAAAAAUGUUGUGGCAUCUUUGAUCUUCUUCUAACUUUGCUGACCUUGUUGCCUUUGUUCUGGUCUUUGUACCACAACUUCUCUCUAGAAUCUUGAAAAUUCCCUGCGAUUCCUUUUUCUGCAAAUAAAUGAAGACGGUAGUGAAGCGAAUUUGCAUUCGGGUUCAUUUCAUAAAACCACUACCCAAAUCAGACUUCCAGAGAAAAGCAGCAAGAUUUGUAAGCUAUAUGCCAACCCCAAAACAAGAAGAACAAGGGGUGGAAGAAGUAAACUUGGACAGUGAAAGCAUAUUAAACAGGACAUACUGGACAAGAAGGAUUCAUAAGCUAUGUGCCAUUGAUGGAAAUGUCGACGAGGCCCUUUGUCUCUUGGACUGCCUCCGCCUCCGUGGCUAUCGUCCUAACUCUCUAAAUCUCAGCAGUGUAAUCCAUGCCCUUUGUUGGUCCAAACGUUAUGCUGAGGCACACCAGCGAUUCCUCUUCUUUAUUGCCUCUCAUUGCAUCCCAGAUGAGCGCAUGUGCAAUGUCCUCAUUGCUAGAUUACUUGAUUCUCGAACCCCACAUGUUACAUUUGAUUUGGUUCAGAGUUUGAUCAAUGUGAACCCUGAGUUUGUUCCCUCUUUGAUGAAUUAUAACCGUUUGAUUGAUCAGUUUUGCAAGUCAUCGGAGCCUUGUGUAGCUCAUAGGAUUUUGUUUGACAUGGUUAAUAGGGGGCAUUGUCCAACUGUUGUUUCCUACACUACUUUGAUUAACGGGUAUUGUAUAUAUGGUGAGAUGGGACCUGCAUUUAUGCUCUUUAAUGAAAUGUUCAAGAAGGGAGUAGCGCCUAAUUCGUUGACUUAUAGUGUUUUGCUUGGCGGGGUUUUGCGGAGUGGUGAUGCACAAUUUGGGAAGAAAUUGAUUUUUCAGCUGUGGGAACAGAUGAGAAAGGAUGAUAAUCCAUCUGUUAAUUGUGCAUCAUUUGCCAAUCUUAUGGAUGUUUUGUGCAGGGAAGGAUUUUGUCAUGAAGUUUUCCGAAUUGCUGAAGAUAUGCCUCAAGAUAGAAGUGUUCCUGAGGAAUUUGCUUAUGCUCAAAUGAUGGAUUCUCUGUGCAGAGCUGAUAGGUAUCAUGGAGCUUCAAGGAUAGUGUAUAUUAUGAGAAAAAGAGGGUUUAAACCAAGCUUGACAGCAUAUAAUUCUAUCAUUCACGAGUUAAGCAAGGAUGGGGGGUGUAUGAGGGCUUUCCAGCUGUUUCAAGAAGGAAUUGCAUUUGGCUAUGUGCCAUCUGAAUAUACAUACAAGAUCUUGGUAGAAAAUCUUUGUCAAGAUGGUGAUAUAACCAAGGCAAAGGAGGUUCUGCAAUUCGUUCUACAGCUGACAACUGUGGACCAAACUAGAACCUAUAAUAUAUAUAUUAAAGCUAUAUGUCUUACCAACAAUGCAACAGAGCUCCUAAACACACUUGUUUCCAUGCUGCAAGCACAAUGUCAGCCUGAUGUGAUCACUCUUAAUACCGUUGUUAAUGGGUUAUGCAAAAUGGGAAGGAUUCAAGACGCAAUGGAAAUAUUUAAUGAUAUGAUGCUGGGUAAAUUUUGUGCACCUGAUUCCAUAACUUUCACUAUUCUAAUUAGUGGGUUAUUGAACGCUGGAAAAAUCAAAGAAGCUCUUGUUCUAUUGCAUGAGAAAAUGCCAAAAAGACAUAUCAGGCCCAGUGUUGUGACUUAUAAUGCAGUUAUUCGAGGAUUAUUCAAGCUUAAGAAUGUUAAUGAUGCUAUGGAAAUCUACAGAGCCAUGGUAACCCAAGGUUUGAAUGCUGACAGCACCACUUAUAGUAUAGUUAUUGACGGGCUUUUUGAGGCUGGGCGAUUAGAUGAGGCCAAAAGAUUUUGGGAUGAAAUAAUAUGGCCUUCCAAGAUUCAUGAUAGUUUUGUUUAUUCUUCCGUAUUAAAAGGACUUUGCCGGUGGGGUAGGUUGGAUGAGGCUUGCGACUACUUAUAUGAGCUAGUAGAUUGUAUGGUAUCACCUAAUAUUUUCAACUAUAACAUUUUAAUUGACUGCGCUUGCAAGUUGGGCUUGAAGAAACAAGCUUACCAGAUAGUCGGAGAGAUGAGGAAGAAUGGGUUAUCCCCAGAUGCUGUCACUUGGAGGAUCCUUGACAAAUUGCAUAGAAACUUUCAACUAGAAGAACAAGAAGAAAAAUAUCACUGUCUCAAUGUACAACUUUCCGACAGCAGAGUUUCAGAAGACAAAUAUGUUGACAGCAAUAUGGAAGUGGCUAUGUUCCAUCCUCCAUUUUAGAUGAGAGAAGUGGAAAUCGUUCCAAUUAGAUGGGAAAUGGAAAUAAAAGGCAUCUUGUUAUAGAAGUUCCGUCUUUGACCAGAGCUUAAAGGUUUGAUAUCAUUGACAGAAUAAAAAAGCAUCAAAGAGUGCCUUGAUGUUUGUCCGUACUGAGAUCAUGUCUUUGGCUAACAGAGUAAUUACAAACAGGCAAGAGAGAAAAGGCAAGAAAAAACAAGACAACAACAACAGACUACCUAAGUCUUCUGAAAUCAGCAGCCAUUCCCUUUGCGUUCCUAAUCUUCUCCCUGUUGCAUUUUUCUAUUACACAAUAGUCCAGACCAUUAGAUAUUCGUCUGAUUUCGAACUGAAAUAAGUGAAAAUAAGGCGAAGAGAAUAGAACCUUCUCCACAUAAGGUGACCAGAUCAAGUCUGCAAGCAGGGUAGCUUCUAAGGGCAUUAAUAAUACCCAUACAGUUUGUGUAAAUUUUUAUACUUCGCAUAUGGAGAGAGACAGCUUGUUGUAAUCCAAUCAAAACAGCCUUCAUUUCUGCUUGGCAAGCAUCCAGAGCUUCAACUUUCUGAACAUCUUUAGCAACCAUUCUGUUAUUAUCAUCAAUGAUCCACCCAAUCGCUGCAACAGCAUAACCUUUCUUCUUGAUUCUCUUCCAUGACCCUGCAAUGAUAAGGUUGACAAACACUGGAAUAUGAGUUCCUUUUAGAUGAAACUGAUGAUUUAUACCAAGCUGAUGGUCACUGCUUCUUUUAGGCCACUUCUUUUA
Molecule: RNA transcript, 3248 nt
Organism: Spinacia oleracea (spinach)
Lineage: Eukaryota; Viridiplantae; Streptophyta; Magnoliopsida; Caryophyllales; Amaranthaceae
Gene name: pentatricopeptide repeat-containing protein At3g18020
Exons: 7
Source: RefSeq, a predicted model, not a curated record